UGUCGAUCGUGGAUGCGAUCCUGGCUGGGGCCGGCCGGCCGGUCUGCUUAUCCCGGCGACGACGACCACCUGUCAAGCUCGCGAUUGCGUGAGUCAUCGCGCACCCACCCAUCGGCGCCGUCUAUUCAUCAGUGGAGUUCUGGGCGAUCGAUAAACCUCCCGUUCUCAUCCACUCCGCCUCCCCCUCUCUCCCUCGUCGCGCUCUCUCUCUCUCUCCCCCUCUCUCCCCAGUUCCACCCGCGCCAUCGUCAUCAUGGCCGAGCUCGCCCGCGCGCCCUCCGGCCUCCCCGCGGCCCAGCUGCUUGUCCGUACACAUCGCCGUCGUCGACUACGUCUACCGCGCGGACCUCUUCGACCUCAGAGCCCCUCUGCCUCGCCGGAUCGCCUUCUUCCUCCACUUCAGUCGCCACCGUCUUCUUCAACGCCGACGCCCACUGCAGCCCCUAAACCCACCAUCGGGCCCUCGUGCGCCCUCUCGGUGAGCCGCACCGAUUCCCCGCUCCCCCCCUUUUUCGUCUGUCGCCAUAGCCGCCGCUCCUACACUCGCCGAUGCCGCGAUCGAACUCCGCUCCCGCACCCGCUAUCCGUUGCUGCGGUCUGUGCCCGCACCCUCGGCUCCCCUGCCCGCGCACUAGUCGUGCCCCUGGCUGGGCCUCGUGCGCGCGCCCACGCCCGCGGGCCUGCUGCUGCGUCGCUGCAAGCUGCUCUACUGCUACGGGCCUGCUGCUCGCCCACCCCGACAGCGCCCUGCCGCACCCGCCAGUCCUCGCGCCACUUGCCGCCCUCCUCUGCUUCGGCCGCGCCCUACCAGCGCGCGCCUCGCUUCCUUCUGUUCCCGCCAGGCCAGCCGUUUCGCUCGCCGCCCGCAACUGUGCGCUCAACUGUCGCAGACCGCCCCGCCCCGCGCCGCUGCUCCGCGUGCCCGGCCGCCGCACCCUGCACCUGGCGCGCGCCUGCAGCCUCGCAACCUGCCGCGCGCUCGUUGCCAGCCGCCGUCACUUCCUGUCGGUCCGUCCCCGCCGCUCGCCGGUGCUGGGCGCCCCUCCCCCGACCUCGCCUGCUGGCAGCGCCCGGGGCUGCCCAGCCCGCAGCCCCGUUAGCCCAGCGCCCGACAACCCGCCCCGGUCGGCCUGGGCCACCGACCAGUGCGGCCCGCCCCUGUAAAUAAAACAAAAAAUUGUUUAAAAAUAUAUAUUAAUUAAUUAACUUAAUUAAUUUGGUUUAAUCUACUAUCUAUCUACUAUCUAUCUAUCUAUCUACUAUCACUAUAAAAAAACGAGAGGGCGGAGAACCAGACAAUCACACCCAUCCACUUACAAAAUCUAAUGGCUCUUAAUCCUCCCGUGUUUAACGCUGCAAACACGCAUUAUAAGCAACUAAAUAAUGCAUCGAUCGCUGACCCCGCUGCCGUUCGAAAAAGAAAAAAACUACCAACAACGCACGCACGCACGCACGCCCCCCGCACGACCUCUCGCCCCAUCCUCAUCCUCCUAUCCGACGCCAGCGCACGGGCGGGGACGCCGUUCCUCCCGCGCCCGCGCCGUUCCCCGCCCAAGUGGUUCGCCGCCCCGCCGCCCCGCCGCCACCCGUCCUCCCGCGCCGUCGCCGCCCGCCGUCCUCUCCUCCCGUGUCUCCUGCCGCUUGCCCCCACAUCGUGGUGCGCCAUAGGUGCCAUCCAGAUCGAGCACGGGGCAAAUCACCCUGCGUCUUCACCGACGGCAUCGGCUGUCUCAGGUCUAGGGUUUGCCCUGGUUCUCACGACUCCCUGUGUGCGGCUGUUGCGGUGGGAUGGACGGCGCCGGCGCCAUUGCGGACUCGCUGUUCGGCCGGCCCGUUGGGGUUCGGUUUUGUUUUGGUUGAUGCGGCUGUCUACCGAUGGAUUGACCAUUGGGGUUUGGAUUAGGUGCUUUUCUGGCUGAUUGGAUGGGUUUGGUGUCGACCAGUGCUUACCGUGGACAACACGACAGCAGUAAGAGCAGCGGCGACAGCUCGGACGCAACGCGCUUGGCCUGCGUCAGCGGCGGCGGCGGGGUCCAUCUCCUCCCUGGAGCAGCGGUGGUGGCGUGGGACACAGCGGGCUCGGCCGCGAAGAUGGAUUUCUCCGGCGGGGCAUUUGAAAAUGUCGAUAUGUCGACGAAUCCUCGCCUCUGUUCCUCGACCUCGCGUGAGGGAAGCCGCUGUCGCUGUUCCUCUACGCGAUGAUUUAACAUUGGCCUUUGUUCAAAUCCUAUUCAUGUUGAACCAUUGAAAGCGAGCACACAAAGCUGCAGAGGCAACCAGUCCAAAGGAAUCAGUACGGUCAUGCCAGUUCAUCCAACUGUUCACGCUCAACUACGUGUUGCAUUGCAAUUUGCAAGUAACCUUGCUUCAACAUAAAAAGAAUUGGGUGAUGGACGUGAUAUCAACAUGGUUAUGGACUACCAUGUAUGUACAUAAAUAUGUAUUCCCUUUGGCGUCGAGCUGCCGCCACCGCGGACUAGGCCGGCGGCAGGAGGGGAUAUGGGAUGGACCUGGCGGUGAUAGGGUUGGGGUCCCCUGGCGUUGCCCAGGGGAGGCGACGCGAGGGGGUGAAGAGACGCAACUUGAAACAUGGUAAUUUCUUUUACGCUCUUACGUUUUGUAUUUGCACAAUGGUUGAUUUCCAUUUGGAAUGUUCAGGUACAUAAAGUUAGAGUAGUGGAGCAAAUCUUAAGAUCUUUUAAUAUGGUUAAUUCCUUAGAUGAGAAAGCUUAUACAUGGAAUAACUCGGUUUCUUGAUCUGUACAUAAAAUAUUGAUUCAUGAAGAAUGAUGUUUUGAAUUAUGUAUGAGACAAGAAUUAAGUACUAUACACUUGUGUGAAAUUCAAAAUUUCAAGAAGGUUAUCCUAUAUCUCUUUUUUGGGUGGGGGAGAGGUAAGGUUAUCAUAUAUAUGAUUAUAUGUGUCAGCUGAGACGUGCAUUGCACGUGCAAGCUUACUAGUUUAACUUAAUUACCUAAUUAACUAGAUGAUUAAGUAAUGAGCCUAUGACAGGAGGCCCCACCCCUGUUCAACUAUGACCCCCUGGCCCACUGUCAGCCUCUGUCUACAAUCUAUCUACACAGGGCUGGGUAACCAUAGCGUUUUAAGCAUUAAUUUCAAAUUAAUAAUAAUUUAAAAAAAAAACUUUAGAAAUUCAUAGAAAAUAAUCCGCACCUCGGAUGAAAAAGUUUUAUACAUGAAAGUUGCUUAGAACGAUGAGACGAAUCUGAAUAUGCGGUUUGUUCGUCCGCCACACGUCCCUAGUAUAGCGAACAUGGAACCAUCCCCCUCCGUUUCGUAUAUCUGAAAAUGCCAAACUUCGGAAAAACAUUCCCGGAUGUUAUCCCCCUUUGCCGGCAUCAUGUAGCACUACGUCAGGACACCUCUAGAUCUGCCUGUAGUCAUGUCAUGCAUCUGUGUGCUAUAUAUUUAC
Molecule: RNA transcript, 3433 nt
Organism: Triticum aestivum (bread wheat)
Lineage: Eukaryota; Viridiplantae; Streptophyta; Magnoliopsida; Poales; Poaceae
Exons: 5
Source: RefSeq, a predicted model, not a curated record